This 468-nucleotide ribosomal RNA is filed under the name uncultured bacterium. RNAcentral describes it as "partial 16S ribosomal RNA". It matches the Rfam family "Bacterial small subunit ribosomal RNA", at positions 28 to 507 of the family's 1533-position model. The record is from RNAcentral.
GACGAACGCUGGCGGCGUGCUUAACACAUGCAAGUCGAACGGAAAGGCCCUGCUUGCAGGGUGCUCGAGUGGCGAACGGGUGAGUAACACGUGGGUGAUCUGCCCCUUACUUUGGGAUAAGCCUGGAAACUGGGUCUAAUACUGGAUAGGACCAUGCUGUAGGUGGUGUGGUGGAAAGAUUAGUUUCGGUAAGGGAUGAGCUCGCGGCCUAUCAGCUUGUUGGUGGGGUAAUGGCCUACCAAGGCGUCGACGGGUAGCCGGCCUGAGAGGGUGGACGGCCACAUUGGGACUGAGAUACGGCCCAGACUCCUACGGGAGGCAGCAGUGGGGAAUAUUGCACAAUGGGCGCAAGCCUGAUGCAGCGACGCCGCGUGGGGGAUGACGGCCUUCGGGUUGUAAACUCCUUUCAGCCAUGACGAAGCCCUUGUGGUGACGGUAGUGGUAGAAGAAGCACCGGCUAACUACGUG